CACUCCUACGGGAGGCAGCAGUGGGGAAUAUUGGACAAUGGGCGCAAGCCUGAUCCAGCCAUGCCGCGUGAGUGAUGAAGGCCCUAGGGUUGUAAAGCUCUUUCACCGGUGAAGAUAAUGACGGUAACCGGAGAAGAAGCCCCGGCUAACUUCGUGCCAGCAGCCGCGGUAAUACGAAGGGGGCUAGCGUUGUUCGGAUUUACUGGGCGUAAAGCGCACGUAGGCGGACUAUUAAGUCAGGGGUGAAAUCCCGGGGCUCAACCCCGGAACUGCCUUUGAUACUGGUAGUCUUGAGUUCGAGAGAGGUGAGUGGAAUUCCGAGUGUAGAGGUGAAAUUCGUAGAUAUUCGGAGGAACACCAGUGGCGAAGGCGGCUCACUGGCUCGAUACUGACGCUGAGGUGCGAAAGCGUGGGGAGCAAACAGGAUUAGAAACCCGUGUAGUCC
Molecule: ribosomal RNA, 445 nt
Filed under: uncultured organism
Description: partial 16S ribosomal RNA
Rfam family: Bacterial small subunit ribosomal RNA
Source: RNAcentral